CGGAACGUGGCGCAGCCCGGUAGCGCACUUGCUUGGGGUGCAAGGGGUCGCGGGUUCAAAUCCCGCCGUUCCGAC
RNAcentral lists this transfer RNA (75 nucleotides) under Bacteroidia bacterium. Its description in RNAcentral is "tRNA-Pro". It matches the Rfam family "tRNA". From Rfam's summary of the family: Transfer RNA (tRNA) molecules are approximately 80 nucleotides in length. Their secondary structure includes four short double-helical elements and three loops (D, anti-codon, and T loops). Further hydrogen bonds mediate the characteristic L-shaped molecular structure. tRNAs have two regions of fundamental functional importance: the anti-codon, which is responsible for specific mRNA codon recognition, and the 3' end, to which the tRNAs corresponding amino acid is attached (by aminoacyl-tRNA synthetases). tRNAs cope with the degeneracy of the genetic code in two manners: having more than one tRNA (with a specific anti-codon) for a particular amino acid; and 'wobble' base-pairing, i.e. permitting non-standard base-pairing at the 3rd anti-codon position. The record is from RNAcentral. Lineage: Bacteria; Pseudomonadati; Bacteroidota; Bacteroidia.